This 137-nucleotide small nucleolar RNA is filed under the name Pogona vitticeps (central bearded dragon). RNAcentral describes it as "Small nucleolar RNA SNORA42/SNORA80 family (ENSPVIG00000020314.1)". It matches the Rfam family "Small nucleolar RNA SNORA42/SNORA80 family". From Rfam's summary of the family: The members of this family belong to the H/ACA class of snoRNAs that guide the sites of modification of uridines to pseudouridines. Lineage: Eukaryota; Metazoa; Chordata; Lepidosauria; Squamata; Agamidae. The record is from Rfam by way of RNAcentral.
GCAUGGUUUUGGAUUUAUGGUGUGUCCCACUCCAUGGACUUCCCAUAGUGUACCCCAUGCUAUAGGAAUUUGCCUCUCUGAACCAUUGGCUGGCCUGAUUUGCUGUAGCCCCAGCCACUGAAACGGGUGGCACAUGU